GCAGUUCAAAGACAUGUAUGUCCUCUUCUUUAAAGACAAUCUUUGGUAAUACCUAUGUUUAUUUGUUAAUUAUUUUGGGACACAAUCUACCAAGUUUUUGGUCUCUUAACACCUUCAAUCUCUCCACAUCCCAAAAGCAUGGUAGUUAUGAUUUUUGAUUGAUAUCAGAGAAAGUUGAUUGAAAAAGCAAUUUCUCUUGCUUCUCUUGGAAGUUAUUCAGUCAUGAUAAUACAAAAAAUAUUGUGAGGCAGGAAAGUGACAGGAUCACAUGACCAAACUAACAUUGAUAUAAAAAUGUGUGAAACAAAGCAAUUGCCAAGACUCUGCUCAACAUGGCGUGCCUCUAAAUUCAAUUUCCCACAAUUCUAAGCUCCCUGUUAGGUUUGGAUCUGCAUAAUAGCAAGAAUUCAUUUUUUGCAAUUAUGCAAACUCGUUAGACGAAGAGUUGUGUCGUUAAGCGACGACUAAGGUAAAGAUCUCCUAACUUGGUGGUCGUUGGAUGAGUGUAUUUUUGUUGAGUGACUCCAAAGUUAGAGAACUCGCUGACUUCGUAGUCGGUGAGCGUGUUUAAGAUCGUUAAACAAGGCUUCUAAUUGUUGAGCAAGUAUGACUUUUGACACUACUCAUUGGGUGAGUGGAUGAUCUCGUUGAGGGAGACUAACAAAGUUGUUCAAUCAUUUUCAUGUUCAAUGAUUUUUGUGUAUGUGAGAUGUGUGAGGAUUGCUUAUAGUAUAUAAAUGUAUGGAUGAUAAUAUGCAUGUUUAGAAUAUGAUGAGAUGUGAACUGUGAGGAUGAUAGGAUUUUCAAGAGAAAAUCCUUCUGAAGUGUGUUUCUUAAGAUGUACAUUAAAGUAAGGACUUAUAUAAGAUGUUAUUCUGUUAUUCUACUGGUCAUUCACAAUUCUAAAACUUCCUUGUAGUUCAACCUUAAUGUGCUUAACUGGAUGAUUGAGUUUCUUUUAUGUGAAUUGGGUUUAAAGACUAUAUAAUUGUCUUACUAGCUUGCAAUGUUGUUUG
This is a long non-coding RNA of Vigna radiata var. radiata (mung bean), 1016 nucleotides long. RefSeq lists it as uncharacterized. The record is from RefSeq and is a predicted model, not a curated record. The transcript has 3 exons. Lineage: Eukaryota; Viridiplantae; Streptophyta; Magnoliopsida; Fabales; Fabaceae.